Molecule: ribosomal RNA, 269 nt
Filed under: uncultured prokaryote
Description: partial 16S ribosomal RNA
Rfam family: Bacterial small subunit ribosomal RNA
Source: RNAcentral
UACGUAGGUGGCGAGCGUUGUCCGGAUUUACUGGGCGUAAAGGGAGCGUAGGCGGACUUUUAAGUGAGAUGUGAAAUACCCGGGCUCAACUUGGGUGCUGCAUUUCAAACUGGAAGUCUAGAGUGCAGGAGGGGAGAAUGGAAUUCCUAGUGUGGCGGUGAAAUGCGUAGAGAUUAGGAAGAACACCAGUGGCGAAGGCGAUUCUCUGGACUGUAACUGACGCUGAGGCUCGAAAGCGUGGGGAGCAAACAGGAUUAGAUACCCGUGUA